RNAcentral lists this ribosomal RNA (497 nucleotides) under uncultured bacterium. RNAcentral describes it as "partial 16S ribosomal RNA". It matches the Rfam family "Bacterial small subunit ribosomal RNA", at positions 28 to 507 of the family's 1533-position model. The record is from RNAcentral.
GAUGAACGCUGGCGGCGUGCCUAAUACAUGCCAGUCGAGCGAACGGACGAGAAGCUUGCUUCUCUGAUGUUAGCGGCGGACGGGUGAGUAACACGUGGAUAACCUACCUAUAAGACUGGGAUAACUUCGGGAAACCGGAGCUAAUACCGGAUGAUAUUUUGAACCGCAUGGUUCAAAAGUGAAAGACGGUCUUGCUGUCACUUAUAGAUGGAUCCGCGCUGCAUUAGCUAGUUGGUAAGGUAACGGCUUACCAAGGCAACGAUGCAUAGCCGACCUGAGAGGGUGAUCGGCCACACUGGAACUGAGACACGGUCCAGACUCCUACGGGAGGCAGCAGUAGGGAAUCUUCCGCAAUGGGCGAAAGCCUGACGGAGCAACGCCGCGUGAGUGAUGAAGGUCUUCGGAUCGUAAAACUCUGUUAUUAGGGAAGAACAUAUGUGUAAGUAACUGCGCACAUCUUGACGGUACCUAAUCAGAAAGCCACGGCUAACUACGUG